CGCCUGCCCUGUGACUAAAAGUUCAACGGCCGCGGUAUUUUGACCGUGCAAAGGUAGCGCAAUCACUUGUCUUUUAAAUGAAGACCUGUAUGAAUGGCAUGACGAGGGCUUAACUGUCUCCUUUUUCCAGUCAAUGAAAUUGAUCUUCCCGUGCAGAAGCGGGAAUAUAACCAUAAGACGAGAAGACCCUAUGGAGCUUUAGACACAAGACAGAUCUUGUUAAACACUUCAAAAUAAAGAAACAAACUAAAAGAACCCUGCCCUACUGUCUUCGGUUGGGGCGACCACGGGGAGAUAAAUAACCCCCACGCGGACUGAGAAAACAGUUCUCACAACCAAGAGCUACAGCUCUAAUCGACAGAAAAUCUGACCUCAAGAUCCGGCAACGCCGAUCAACGAACCGAGUUACCCUAGGGAUAACAGCGCAAUCCCCUUCUAGAGUCCAUAUCGACAAGGGGGUUUACGACCUCGAUGUUGGAUCAGGACAUCCUAAUGGUGCAGCAGCUAUUAAGGGUUCGUUUGUUCAACGAUUAAAGUCCU
This 540-nucleotide ribosomal RNA is filed under the name Betta pulchra. Its description in RNAcentral is "partial 16S ribosomal RNA". It matches the Rfam family "Bacterial large subunit ribosomal RNA", at positions 1856 to 2597 of the family's 2925-position model. The record is from RNAcentral. Lineage: Eukaryota; Metazoa; Chordata; Actinopteri; Anabantiformes; Osphronemidae.